UGAAAACUCAGCUGAAGCUGUAAUGAGUCCAAUACUAAAGGUUAUCACUGUGCCAGCAGGGAGCUUAGAUGCAUGUGUGCACAAUUGCUCUCAGCAUUUAAAAAAACCAAGAAAACUAUAUAUUUGGAUGUAGAGUUAAACAGUAUCAUCAGUGUCAGUGUUGUAGUUUCUGAUUCCUUGACUUUACAUACUCCGUGUAGGAUGCUGG
Long non-coding RNA from Vidua macroura (Pin-tailed whydah), 208 nucleotides. RefSeq lists it as uncharacterized. NCBI's taxonomy places the organism in Eukaryota, Metazoa, Chordata, Aves, Passeriformes, Viduidae. The record is from RefSeq and is a predicted model, not a curated record. The transcript has 3 exons.